GACGAACGCUGGCGGCGUGCUUAACACAUGCAAGUCGAACGGAAAGGCCCUGCUUUUGUGGGGUGCUCGAGUGGCGAACGGGUGAGUAACACGUGAGUAACCUGCCCUUGACUUUGGGGUAACUUCAGGAAACUGGGGCUAAUACCGGAUAGGAGCUCCUGCCGCAUGGUGGGGGUUGGAAAGUUUCGGCGGUUGGGGAUGGACUCGCGGCUUAUCAGCUUGUUGGUGGGGUAGUGGCUUACCAAGGCUUUGACGGGUAGCCGGCCUGAGAGGGUGACCGGCCACAUUGGGACUGAGAUACGGCCCAGACUCCUACGGGAGGCAGCAGUGGGGAAUAUUGCACAAUGGGCGGAAGCCUGAUGCAGCAACGCCGCGUGCGGGAUGACGGCCUUCGGGUUGUAAACCGCUUUCGCCUGUGACGAAGCGUGAGUGACGGUAAUGGGUAAAGAAGCACCGGCUAACUACGUG
RNAcentral lists this ribosomal RNA (468 nucleotides) under uncultured bacterium. Its description in RNAcentral is "partial 16S ribosomal RNA". It matches the Rfam family "Bacterial small subunit ribosomal RNA", at positions 28 to 507 of the family's 1533-position model. The record is from RNAcentral.